This 1536-nucleotide long non-coding RNA is filed under the name Homo sapiens (human). RNAcentral describes it as "HSALNT0191446". Lineage: Eukaryota; Metazoa; Chordata; Mammalia; Primates; Hominidae. The record is from RNAcentral.
GAAAAGAAGAACUUUCUCAGUCAUGUCAUGUAUGGUAUCACCAUCCUAUAGGUACUUGGCAUUCCUGUGGUGUGUGCUGUUCCCUCCAAAGAUAAGCCUAUGUUUCCAUAUACUGGAAAUUAACUCUAGAAAUGAAACUGUUCUUCUCAUUUUUUCUUUUUAUUUUUCUUGGUGAUUAAUUAUUGUUCUUUCAUGGUUUUUCUCUUAAAAUCAUCCAGUUGAUCUAUAAAAAUGUAUUCAACUUAUUGUGUGGAAACACCCUGAGAAGAACAAAGAGAAGUUUAAAUAAUGAGGACCAGGAUAUCUGCAACCAAAAAGCAAUUUGUGCUUCAUUAAUUGUUCACAGAAAUAAAGUAUGUGGGGAGGGGGACAAUAUUUGAAGAUUUAAAUGGUCACUGCUACUGCUGCAUUUCUUGUUCAUUCAAAGUAAAACUAGAUAAUAUUUGUGUAAGCAGCACCUUGUUGGUUGGAUAACUGAGAAAUUACCAUAAUUUAAGUUUUGGUUUGCUUGAAGUUUCAAUAAGCUUAGGGUCAUUCUGAAGCAUUACCUUGUCAUGAAUUUUAAAGAUAAAAUUCAUAUUGAUGAUGAUGAUAAUAACAUCCACAUGUAUUAGUUUUAAUUAAGCAAAUAGAAUGUGCAAGUACUAUAUUAAAUACUUAUUCACAGAUUACCUCCUUCACCUUCAAAACAAUCCUAUACAAAGUAAAUGCUAUUAUCUUGGUUUUGUAGAUACUGAUAGCCUGUAUUUGUUGAGUUCUAAUUAUGUGUUCAAUUAUCAACAUCACAAUGAGAUAGUUACCAUUUUCUAGAAAAGAAAAUCCAAACUUAGAGUAAGAAAGUGAUUUACCUACAUUUCCAUAUGUAGUGAUAUUGGAGCCAUGACUCUGACUCAUUUGUAAUUUAAAACCUCAUGUUCUUAACCACAGUGCUGUGGUUAUCAUAUAUAUUAAUCAGUGUAAGUAAAUGUAAAUGCUUUAACAGAGAAACUUUGAAUUUCAUCAGAUUGACAAAAUAAAGUUUACAUUGUUUACUCAUGUUAUGAUCCAAGAUUCAAUGCAGUUGAAAUGUUGAAAUGUUGUCUAUCAGUAAUGGAAUCUGAGGAACAGACUUAAUCGGAGUGCCCAAAGACAAAAAUGUAAUAGAUUUGAUAUAAAUAAAACAUUUUAUCUGCCACACCUUGUAAGUAAAUCUUGACUUUUCUAUGUGAAAUUAGAGAACUGUUGGAUGAUUUUAAGCACAGAAUAUAAAUAAAUUUAUAUUUUAGAAUUAUGACUAUGGUAAUAUUACAGAGACUAGACUGUACAGGGUUGAAUGAGAUAAGAAAAUAUGAAGCUAUUUAGGGAAACCAAUUUAGACGAAAAAUGAUGGGAGCAGGAAUAAUACAGUGGUUACGGGAAUUAAGAGAAGAGGUAGGAAAAGCCUCCAAGAGCAAUUUGGAGGAUAGAUUCAAAAAGACUUAUUCAAUAUUGGGUGUAACCAAUUAAGCAGAAUGGUCAACAAUACUCCUGAGGUCUUAAGUAGGGAGAACAUCAUGG